GACGAACGCUGGCGGCGUGCUUAACACAUGCAAGUCGAACGGAAAGGCCCUGCUUUUGUGGGGUGCUCGAGUGGCGAACGGGUGAGUAACACGUGAGUAACCUGCCCUUGACUUUGGGAUAACUUCAGGAAACUGGGCUAAUACCGGAUAGGAGCUCCUGCUGCAUGGUGGGGGGUGGAAAGGUUCGGCGGUUGGGGAUGGACUCGCGGCUUAUCAGCUUGUUGGUGGGGUAGUGGCUUACCAAGGCUUUGACGGGUAGCCGGCCUGAGAGGGUGACCGGCCACAUUGGGACUGAGAUACGGCCCAGACUCCUACGGGAGGCAGCAGUGGGGAAUAUUGCACAAUGGGCGGAAGCCUGAUGCAGCAACGCCGCGUGCGGGAUGACGGCCUUCGGGUUGUAAACCGCUUUCGCCUGUGACGAAGCGUGAGUGACGGUAAUGGGUAAAGAAGCACCGGCUAACUACGUG
This 467-nucleotide ribosomal RNA is filed under the name uncultured bacterium. RNAcentral describes it as "partial 16S ribosomal RNA". It matches the Rfam family "Bacterial small subunit ribosomal RNA", at positions 28 to 507 of the family's 1533-position model. The record is from RNAcentral.